CCUACGGGAGGCAGCAGUGAGGAAUAUUGGUCAAUGGACGAGAGUCUGAACCAGCCAAGUAGCGUGAAGGAUGACUGCCCUAUGGGUUGUAAACUUCUUUUAUAAAGGAAUAAAUCGAGGCACGUGUGCCUUUUUGCACGUCCUUUAUGAAUCAGGAUCGGCUAACUCGGUGCCAGCAGCCGCGGUAAUACGGAGGUGCCGAGCGUUAUCCGGAUUUAUGGGGUUUAAAGGGAGCGUGAAGGGGUUGGUAAGUCAGUUGUGAGAGUUUGGGGAUCAACCGUAAAAUUGCAAUGGAUACGGGCAGUCUGGGGGACAGUUGAGGUAGGCGGAAUUCGGGGUGUAGCGGUGAAAUGCUUAGAUAUC
This 363-nucleotide ribosomal RNA is filed under the name uncultured bacterium. RNAcentral's name for it is "partial 16S ribosomal RNA". It matches the Rfam family "Bacterial small subunit ribosomal RNA", at positions 338 to 698 of the family's 1533-position model. The record is from RNAcentral.